Molecule: long non-coding RNA, 998 nt
Filed under: Homo sapiens (human)
Lineage: Eukaryota; Metazoa; Chordata; Mammalia; Primates; Hominidae
Description: long non-coding RNA NONHSAT163580.1
Source: RNAcentral
GCGAUAGGCGGCUUUGGGGUCGCCCCAGGAGUCCAGCUGCGAGAGACCAAUGGGAUUUGAAAAUGGCCUUGAUGAUUCAGACGGCCGUGACGUCAGCGGGGUCAAGUUGUCGGCAGGCGGAGCGCGCAGAGUGGAGUAACAGCGCCAUCUAGCAGCUGCCUCGGCAGUAACCAGCCUGUAACUCCUGGGGAGAAGGGGGCGGAGAGGGGGGAAAUGCGGGAGAGAGGGAGAGAGCGAGGCAACCCGGGGCUCAAAACAGUCAAAUUCAAAUUAAAAGGUCGAGACACGAAUCAGGGAAUAUUCCGGGAAAGAAAGAGGGAACCUGCGGAGCCUCGGUCAGUUUGGAGGAGUCACGUAUCACACGGGAAACCAGCACACAAGACGCAACAAAACCCGACCCAGAGAAGCGUCCUUUACAGAGCGCACGGGCUGGGAGCAUGUUUGAAAGAAGACAGACCAGUCUAUUUUUGUGGUUGUUUUUAAAUAAAAGGAAGAAAUAAGGGGAACCGUAUGUUUCAAACAGUUAUUUCCGUUUCUCCAUCGCCUUCUUCCAAAGCGAACUAAACUCUCCACCCCUUCCUCAGGAAACGGAAUCUGGAGAACAACUUGUCUUUCCUGUCGCCCCACAUUUUUCCUUGGACAGAGCCUAGGGUUCAGACUUUCCGAAGGGCUGGAGUUUGGCGGGGAAAGGACUGGAGCCCAGCGCCCUGGAGUGGAGGAGUGAGGAGGCUAGACCGUUUCUAAGGAGGCCCAAGCCCGCUGCGGCUAGAAGACCGCAGAAAGAAAUCCGCCGAAUUUCCCCAUCCAGGGGUGGAGAGAGAAGACGCAGGGGUUCCUGAACCUCCGGAAAACUGGAAGGAAAUGUGGAGUGUAUGAUUUGCUUGCAGGACCGGCCAGGGGAGAUUUGAAAUGGUUUUGUGUUUUCAUAUGCAGGGUCACCGUGGCCUCAGCAUGGGGGUUAUCCAGGGCAAGGUUAGGCUGUUUAGGCCCCAGACUUG